UGAGGAAUCUUGCACAAUGGGGGCAACCCUGAUGCAGCGACGCCGCGUGGGGGAAGACGCCCUUCGGGGUGUAAACCCCUUUUCUGGGGGACGAGGGAGGAACGGUACCCCAGGAAUGAAUGCCAACGGCUAAUCUACCGUG
This 142-nucleotide ribosomal RNA is filed under the name uncultured bacterium. RNAcentral's name for it is "partial 16S ribosomal RNA". It matches the Rfam family "Bacterial small subunit ribosomal RNA", at positions 355 to 507 of the family's 1533-position model. The record is from RNAcentral.